This 846-nucleotide ribosomal RNA is filed under the name uncultured bacterium. Its description in RNAcentral is "bacterial SSU rRNA". It matches the Rfam family "Bacterial small subunit ribosomal RNA", at positions 9 to 863 of the family's 1533-position model. The record is from RNAcentral.
GAGUUUGAUCCUGGCUCAGGACGAACGCUGGCGGCGUGCUUAACACAUGCAAGUCGAACGAUGAAGCUAAGACUGACGCCUUCGGGCAGACGACUUAGCGGAUUAGUGGCGGACGGGUGAGUAACGCGUGAGCAAUCUACCAUGGACAAAGGGAUAGCCUCGGGAAACUGGGAUUAAUACCUUAUGAUUCUUCUCUUAGGCAUCUUUAAGAAGAUAAAGAAUUUCGGUCCAUGAUGAGCUCGCGUCUGAUUAGCUAGUUGGUGAGAUAAAAGCUCACCAAGGCGAUGAUCAGUAACCGGCCUGAGAGGGUGAACGGUCACACUGGAACUGAGACACGGUCCAGACUCCUACGGGAGGCAGCAGUGGGGAAUCUUGCACAAUGGAGGCAACUCUGAUGCAGCGACGCCGCGUGAGCGAUGAAGGUAUUCGUAUCGUAAAGCUCUGUUGUUGGGGAAGAUAAUGACAGUACCCAUCGAGAAAGCCCCGGCUAACUAAGUGCCAGCAGCCGCGGUAAUACUUAGGGGGCAAGCGUUGUCCGGAAUUAUUGGGCGUAAAGGGUACGCAGGCGGUUUAAGAAGUGAGUUGUGAAAGCGUGAGGCUCAACCUCAUACAGCAAUUCAAACUCUUAAACUUGAGUAGUGGAGAGGAAAGUGGAAUUCUUAGUGUAGCGGUGAAAUGCGUAGAUAUUAAGAGGAACACCAGUGGCGAAGGCGACUUUCUGGACACUAACUGACGCUGAGGUACGAAAGCGUGGGGAGCAAACAGGAUUAGAUACCCUGGUAGUCCACGCCGUAAACGAUGAGUGCUAGGUAUCGGAAGAAUUCGGUGCCGCAGUGAACGCAUGAA